AUCCUUUUGUAGUUCAUAAGUGAAAUGAUUGGGUUUUCAUGUUCCUUUGUGAGAUAUACCACCCUCAAACUUUGUUACAGCGUCAGCACAUUACCAAUCUGAUG
Molecule: small nucleolar RNA, 104 nt
Organism: Macaca fascicularis (crab-eating macaque)
Lineage: Eukaryota; Metazoa; Chordata; Mammalia; Primates; Cercopithecidae
Source: Ensembl